CCCGCCGAUUCCGCAGAACGCUCCCGCCCCUCCUUGCCUCCCUCUAGCGGCAGCGCGAAGAGCGUUUGCACUGCAGCUUGACAAAUGCUGAUGCCACCACUGCUGAAACUCCACUCCUCAAAUGACAGAGGGACCUUCCAGUAAGCCUCACACCUGCCUUCAGAAGGAGCAAGUGCAUAGUGAUGCUGAGCUCCCCUCUGACCACAGACACAGCUCUAAAGACACACCCACCUACCUGCUGAAGGGGGUGAGACCAGGGCAAGGAGCACCUUCUCCUAAAAUAAGCACUCACUCUCUGUCUUACCCAUAAGCAGCUCAACUGCCCCUGUCUGGCCCGAUGAGGUUCUGCGUCCUGGCCAUCUGCCCAAGCCUCGGCACACAGUGGUCACAGUUUAAGGAAUCAGUUUGGACCCUGCCUGCCUGACGUCUGCACAUAGUCCACAGGAGCCCUUCCUCAGC
Long non-coding RNA from Myotis brandtii (Brandt's bat), 459 nucleotides. RefSeq lists it as uncharacterized. Lineage: Eukaryota; Metazoa; Chordata; Mammalia; Chiroptera; Vespertilionidae. The record is from RefSeq and is a predicted model, not a curated record. The transcript is spliced from 4 exons.